GGGCCCGCACAAGCGGUGGAGUAUGUGGUUUAAUUCGAUGCAACGCGAAGAACCUUACCAGGGUUUGACAUCCUGCGAAUCUCUUGGAAACUUGAGAGUGCCUUCGGGAGCGCAGUGACAGGUGGUGCAUGGCUGUCGUCAGCUCGUGUCGUGAGAUGUUGGGUUAAGUCCCGCAACGAGCGCAACCCACGUCUUUAGUUGCCAGCAUUUAGUUGGGCACUCUAGAGAGACCGCCGGUGAUAAACCGGAGGAAGGUGUGGAUGACGUCAAGUCAUCAUGCCCCUUACAUCCUGGGCUACACACGUACUACAAUGGCAUAUACAGAGGGCAGCAAGACCGCGAGGUGGAGCA
RNAcentral lists this ribosomal RNA (351 nucleotides) under uncultured bacterium. RNAcentral's name for it is "bacterial SSU rRNA". It matches the Rfam family "Bacterial small subunit ribosomal RNA", at positions 917 to 1269 of the family's 1533-position model. The record is from RNAcentral.